RNAcentral lists this ribosomal RNA (570 nucleotides) under Bacteroidetes bacterium 109-13. Its description in RNAcentral is "SSU rRNA". It matches the Rfam family "Bacterial small subunit ribosomal RNA", at positions 1 to 568 of the family's 1533-position model. Lineage: Bacteria; Pseudomonadati; Bacteroidota. The record is from RNAcentral.
GAUGUCGACAGAGUUUGAUCCUGGCUCAGGAUGAACGCUAGCGGCAGGCUUAACACAUGCAAGUCGAGGGGUAUAGAGAGCUUGCUUUCUAGAGACCGGCGCACGGGUGCGUAACGCGUAUGCAAUCUACCUUUCACAAAGGGAUAGCCCAGAGAAAUUUGGAUUAAUACCUUAUAGUAUUAUAGAAUGGCAUCAUUUUNUAAUUAAAGAUUUAUCGGUGAAAGAUGAGCAUGCGUCCCAUUAGUUAGUUGGUAAGGUAACGGCUUACCAAGACUACGAUGGGUAGGGGUCCUGAGAGGGAGAUCCCCCACACUGGUACUGAGACACGGACCAGACUCCUACGGGAGGCAGCAGUGAGGAAUAUUGGACAAUGGGCGCAAGCCUGAUCCAGCCAUGCCGCGUGCAGGAUGACGGUCCUAUGGAUUGUAAACUGCUUUUAUACAGGAAGAAACACCUCUACGUGUAGAGACUUGACGGUACUGUAAGAAUAAGGAUCGGCUAACUCCGUGCCAGCAGCCGCGGUAAUACCGAGGAUCCAAGCGUUAUCCGGAAUCAUUGGGUUUAAAGGGU